This 75-nucleotide transfer RNA is filed under the name Mycoplasmataceae bacterium. RNAcentral's name for it is "tRNA-Gln". It matches the Rfam family "tRNA". From Rfam's summary of the family: Transfer RNA (tRNA) molecules are approximately 80 nucleotides in length. Lineage: Bacteria; Bacillati; Mycoplasmatota; Mollicutes; Mycoplasmatales; Mycoplasmataceae. The record is from RNAcentral.
UGGGAUAUAGCCAAGUGGAAAGGCUUCAGAUUCUGAAUCUGACAUGCGGUGGUUCGAACCCACCUAUCCCAGCCA